UCUUGAAUGGAAUCAAAUUGUGGUUGGGAUAGACGAGUGAUUUCUCGUAUAAUGGCUUGUACUUGCAAAUCGGGUACUCCACCUCCGGGAAAAUUUCUUCUUGGUUGAAGGUUUCUUCCUCCACCUGCGGCAUUCGACACUCCUCCACUUAGUACUCGACUUUUCGGGCUUCUUGACAUGUUGUUUAACCUGAAAAAAAU
Molecule: long non-coding RNA, 200 nt
Filed under: Gossypium barbadense (sea-island cotton)
Lineage: Eukaryota; Viridiplantae; Streptophyta; Magnoliopsida; Malvales; Malvaceae
Description: long non-coding RNA (GBAR_LNC016501)
Source: RNAcentral